ACGCCGUAAACGAUGAGUGCUAAGUGUUAGAGGGUUUCCGCCCUUUAGUGCUGCAGCUAACGCAUUAAGCACUCCGCCUGGGGAGUACGGCCGCAAGGCUGAAACUCAAAGGAAUUGACGGGGGCCCGCACAAGCGGUGGAGCAUGUGGUUUAAUUCGAAGCAACGCGAAGAACCUUACCAGGUCUUGACAUCCUCUGACAACCCUAGAGAUAGGGCGUUCCCCUUCGGGGGACAGAGUGACAGGUGGUGCAUGGUUGUCGUCAGCUCGUGUCGUGAGAUGUUGGGUUAAGUCCCGCAACGAGCGCAACCCUUGACCUUAGUUGCCAGCAUUCAGUUGGGCACUCUAAGGUGACUGCCGGUGACAAACCGGAGGAAGGUGGGGAUGACGUCAAAUCAUCAUGCCCCUUAUGACCUGGGCUACACACGUGCUACAAUGGAUAGAACAAAGGGUAGCGAAGCCGCGAGGUGAAGCCAAUCUCAUAAAUCUAUUCUCAGUUCGGAUUGCAGGCUGCAACUCGCCUGCAUGAAGCUGGAAUCGCUAGUAAUCGCGGAUCAGCAUGCCGCGGAUUGC
This 572-nucleotide ribosomal RNA is filed under the name Bacillus sp. (in: firmicutes). RNAcentral describes it as "bacterial SSU rRNA". It matches the Rfam family "Bacterial small subunit ribosomal RNA", at positions 797 to 1369 of the family's 1533-position model. The record is from RNAcentral. Lineage: Bacteria; Bacillati; Bacillota; Bacilli; Caryophanales; Bacillaceae.